AGUGAACGCUGGCGGUAGGCCUAACACAUGCAAGUCGAACGGCAGCACAGUAAGAGCUCGCUCUUACGGGUGGCGAGUGGCGGACGGGUGAGGAAUACAUCGGAAUCUACUUUUUCGUGGGGGAUAACGUAGGGAAACUUACGCUAAUACCGCAUACGACCUACGGGUGAAAGCAGGGGAUCUUCGGACCUUGCGCGAUUGGAUGAGCCGAUGUCGGAUUAGCUAGUUGGCGGGGUAAAGGCCCACCAAGGCGACGAUCCGUAGCUGGUCUGAGAGGAUGAUCAGCCACACUGGAACUGAGACACGGUCCAGACUCCUACGGGAGGCAGCAGUGGGGAAUAUUGGACAAUGGGCGCAAGCCUGAUCCAGCCAUACCGCGUGGGUGAAGAAGGCCUUCGGGUUGUAAAGCCCUUUUGUUGGGAAAGAAAAGCAGCAGGUUAAUACCCCGCUGUUCUGACGGUACCCAAAGAAUAAGCACCGGCUAACUUCGUG
This 492-nucleotide ribosomal RNA is filed under the name uncultured bacterium. RNAcentral's name for it is "partial 16S ribosomal RNA". It matches the Rfam family "Bacterial small subunit ribosomal RNA", at positions 29 to 507 of the family's 1533-position model. The record is from RNAcentral.